Non-coding RNA from Chaetura pelagica (chimney swift), 47 nucleotides. NCBI's taxonomy places the organism in Eukaryota, Metazoa, Chordata, Aves, Apodiformes, Apodidae. The record is from Rfam.
CUAAUGGCUCUUCUAGGAGCCAUCAACAAGGAAGAAUGAAGCAGUCU